RNAcentral lists this transfer-messenger RNA (346 nucleotides) under Eubacteriales. RNAcentral describes it as "UBA644 sp014872655 Standard tmRNA". It matches the Rfam family "transfer-messenger RNA". From Rfam's summary of the family: Bacterial tmRNA, also known as 10Sa RNA or SsrA, is named for its dual tRNA and mRNA-like properties. RNAcentral also lists the same sequence under 1 other name. Lineage: Bacteria; Bacillati; Bacillota; Clostridia. The record is from RNAcentral.
GGGGGCGUACCGGUUUCGACGGGGAUGCUGAACCACGAUAAGCGGGUAGUGUCGCGGCAAUCACUUAAAAGGUCGCAACUUUAAAAUUAAACGCUAAUAAAACUGAAUUAGCUGCUGCCUAAUUAGGCGGCCGUCCUCUCGCGGAGUACUGCGGCCGCGAACAGGGCGUCGAUGAGCAGUCCACUCUUUGUACGAUGCCGAGAGUACAAACCGUAUCAUUUCGGCUAUCGCAUGCGGCGGCUUGUUUGUUGUCCGCCUCAUGCCGAACUCAAACAAUAAACUAAACUCGUAGAAAGUCGUGCGGACGCGUUUUCGGACAGGGGUUCGACUCCCCUCGCCUCCACCA